AGUUGGCGAUGAUGACUAACAUUACAGUUUCAACUAGCCAGUUCUGCUUCAGACAAAUAAUGAUCGAUGAAACUGUUCGAAACCUGAGCCUUUU
This is a small nucleolar RNA of Zingiber officinale, 94 nucleotides long. The record is from RefSeq and is a predicted model, not a curated record. NCBI's taxonomy places the organism in Eukaryota, Viridiplantae, Streptophyta, Magnoliopsida, Zingiberales, Zingiberaceae.